AGGAAAAGGAGUGAUGAUUUUGUUUUCCCGGCAGUUUUAUCAGUAUUUUUAGUGCAGUUUUUGUAUUAUUCACGCCUGUGACUGCAGUCAACCAGGUCUGCCUGAUGUACCACUUACAUAGCAGCCCAGCAAGGAAACUCAACAUACAGGGGAAGACACCAGUUUAAUGACAACAGUAUUAUACAGGGCACCAGCGAGGAGGAAAGCAGUGCAGUGCAUGGAAUACAUGGAAUGCUUUUCCAGCCUGAGCGCAGCAGUUUGCAGAGAAGACUAAAUGCUGCAUGUUGAAGCCCACAGGUGAUUGUACAGCUGGGAGGAGCAGCUGACACACGAGCUGUCGUGCCCUGUUCCGACAGACAAGCCGGAGCAGUGGGCAGAAAGCAGGCUUACAGGGUUCUACAAAAGGAAAUGCAAAGUCCUGCAUCUGGAGAGGAACAAGCCCGUGACCAGUGACCAGCACACACG
RNAcentral lists this long non-coding RNA (465 nucleotides) under Anser brachyrhynchus (Pink-footed goose). RNAcentral describes it as "lncRNA (ENSABRG00000019774.1)". Lineage: Eukaryota; Metazoa; Chordata; Aves; Anseriformes; Anatidae. The record is from RNAcentral.